RNAcentral lists this ribosomal RNA (484 nucleotides) under uncultured bacterium. Its description in RNAcentral is "partial 16S ribosomal RNA". It matches the Rfam family "Bacterial small subunit ribosomal RNA", at positions 30 to 507 of the family's 1533-position model. The record is from RNAcentral.
AUUGAACGCUGGCGGCAGGCCUAACACAUGCAAGUCGAGCGGAUGAAGGGAGCUUGCUCCUGGAUUCAGCGGCGGACGGGUGAGUAAUGCCUAGGAAUCUGCCUGGUAGUGGGGGAUAACGUCCGGAAACGGGCGCUAAUACCGCAUACGUCCUGAGGGAGCAAGUGGGGGAUCUUCGGACCUCACGCUAUCAGAUGAGCCUAGGUGGGAUUAGCUAGUUGGUGGGGUAAAGGCCUACCAAGGCGACGAUCCGUAACUGGUCUGAGAGGAUGAUCAGUCACACUGGAACUGAGACACGGUCCAGACUCCUACGGGAGGCAGCAGUGGGGAAUAUUGGACAAUGGGCGAAAGCCUGAUCCAGCCAGGCCGCGUGUGUGAAGAAGGUCUUCGGAUUGUAAAGCACUUUAAGUUGGGAGGAAGGGCAGUAAGUUAAUACCUUGCUGUUUUGACGUUACCAACAGAAUAAGCACCGGCUAACUUCGUG